AACGAACGCUGGCGGCAGGCCUAACACAUGCAAGUCGAGCGAGGACUUCGGUUCUAGCGGCGGACGGGCGAGUAACGCGUGGGAAUGUGCCCUUCUCUACGGAAUAGCCCUGGGAAACUGGGAGUAAUACCGUAUACGCCCUUUUGGGGAAAGAUUUAUCGGAGAAGGAUCAGCCCGCGUUGGAUUAGGUAGUUGGUGGGGUAAUGGCCUACCAAGCCGACGAUCCAUAGCUGGUUUGAGAGGCUGAUCAGCCACGCUGGGACUGAGACACGGCCCAGACUCCUACGGAAGGCAGCAGUGGGGAAUCUUAGACGAGGGGGGCAACCCUGAUCUAGCCAUGCCGCGUGAGUGAUGAAGGCCUUAGGGUUGUACAGCUCUUUCAGCUGGGAAGAUAGUGACGGUACCAGCAGAAGAAGCCCCGGCUAACUCCGUG
This 433-nucleotide ribosomal RNA is filed under the name uncultured bacterium. Its description in RNAcentral is "partial 16S ribosomal RNA". It matches the Rfam family "Bacterial small subunit ribosomal RNA", at positions 29 to 507 of the family's 1533-position model. The record is from RNAcentral.